Molecule: non-coding RNA, 889 nt
Organism: Doryrhamphus excisus (bluestripe pipefish)
Lineage: Eukaryota; Metazoa; Chordata; Actinopteri; Syngnathiformes; Syngnathidae
Source: RefSeq, a predicted model, not a curated record
UUUUCUGUGUCUCUCCGCCCUCCGUUUGCUCGCCUUGCCUCUUGGCAGCGGUGCCAAAGUGGGCAGGCUCACGGAGGCAAACACAGCACAGGCCAGAGCAGAGGGCGAUCCAAAAGGCUGGCGAGUUGAUAAUGUGGAUGUUUGGAAGUGUCCGUUGUUAUUUUGACUUCUUUUUUCCAUGUGGCGUUCCGAGCUCAUCCGUUCGUUGCACACAAUGUGCACAAUGUUUCGGAUUUGUGUUUGUAAGGCUAUAACGAGAGAGCACACGUAAAAUGCAUGAACAGACGCACUCGCGCCAAGAGGAGGGGAUUGUGGGAAAAAAAAAAAAAAAGGGGUGUCGCUCUGAGAGGGUGUGCUCUACUCUCUUUUUCCUUCUUCCCGCCAUCACGGGCCUUCUUCUCUUCCAGUCCUCGGGCCCAAGUCGCCGCUCAGAUACAGGAUGCAGGAGCGUGACCUUGACGUCGGCACCAUAACGAGGCAACACGAAUGCUGCCCUUGGGCCUGAGGAGACAGCUUGAUCAGCCGCACAUCCUCGCCCCCAAAUCCUGUCCAAUCACAGCACGUGGAACGUAGCGACUCGUGUAACAUAUACUGCGGUGUAUUAUGUUACCUGACAUGUGAAUAUGUGUUAAAACCGGGCUUUGUCAGGGUGAGGUAGUAGGUUGUAUAGUUUGGUGGGUGGGUCUGCACCCAGCUCAGGUGAUAACUAUACAGUCUAUUGCCUUCCUUGAGAAGCCCAUAAACAACUAAGUGUAUGUAAUUGUUUGUAUAAGUCACGUAACGAGAUAUUUAUGUUGAUAAAUGUGAAUAAAGUCAUACUUUACAAGUGGGUGGACUUCUUGUUGUAAUGUGGGUCCAUACGUCCAAUGGUCAGUCUUUUGCGCCCUCC